This is a long non-coding RNA of Erpetoichthys calabaricus (reedfish), 1142 nucleotides long. RefSeq lists it as uncharacterized. NCBI's taxonomy places the organism in Eukaryota, Metazoa, Chordata, Cladistia, Polypteriformes, Polypteridae. The record is from RefSeq and is a predicted model, not a curated record. The transcript has 2 exons.
CUUAGCAGCAAUAACUGCAAUCAAGCGUUUGCGAUAACUUGCAAUGAGUCUUUUACAGCGCUCUGGAGGAAUUUUCGCCCACUCAUCUUUGCAAAAUUGUUGUAAUUCAGCUUUAUUUGAGGGUUUUCUAGCAUGAACCGCCUUUUUAAGGUCAUGCCAUAGCAUCUCAAUUGGAUUCAGGUCAGGACUUUGACUAGGCCACUCCAAAGUCUUCAUUUUGUUUUUCUUCAGCCAUUCAGAGGUGGAUUUGCUGGUGUGUUUUGGGUCAUUGUCCUGUUGCAGCACCCAAGAUCGCUUCAGCUUGAGUUGACGAACAGAUGGCCGGACAUUCUCCUUCAGGAUUUUUUGGUAGACAGUUGAAUUCAUGGUUCCAUCUAUCACAGCAAGCCUUCCAGGUCCUGAAGCAACAAAACAACCCCAGACCAUCACACUACCACCACCAUAUUUUACUGUUGGUAUGAUGUUCUUUUUCUGAAAUGCUGUGUUACUUUUACGCCAGAUGUAACGGGACAUUUGCCUUCCAAAAAGUUCAACUUUUGUCUCAUCAGUCCACAAGGUAUUUUCCCAAAAGUCUUGGCAAUCAUUGAGAUGUUUCUUAGCAAAAUUGAGACGAGCCCUAAUGUUCUUUUUGCUUACAUCGUGAACACUGACCUUAAUUGAGGCAAGUGAGGCCUGCAGUUCUUUAGACGUUGUCCUGGGGUCUUUUGUGACCUCUCGGAUGAGUCGUCUCUGCACUCUUGGGGUAAUUUUGGUCGGCCGGCCACUCCUGGGAAGGUUCACCACUGUUCCAUGUUUUUGCCAUUUCUGGAUAAUGGCUCUCACUGUGGUUCGCUGGAGUCCCAAAGCUUUAGAAAUGGCUUUAUAACCUUUACCAGACUGAUAGAUCUCAAUUACUUCUGUUCUCAUUUGUUCCUGAAUUUCUUUGGAUCUUGGCAUGAUGUCUAGCAUUUGAGGUGCUUUUGGUCUACUUCUCUGUGUCAGGCAGCUCCUAUUUAAGUGAUUUCUUGAUUGAAACAGGUGUGGCAGUAAUCAGGCCUGGGGGUGGCUACGGAAAUUGAACUCAGGUGUGAUACACCACAGUUAGGUUCUUUUUUAACAAGGGGGCAAUUACUUUUUCACACAGGGCCAUGUAGGUUUGGAUU